GGCGAGCGGCGGACGGGUGAGUAAUGGCUGGGAACCUGCCCUGACGUGGGGGAUAACAGUUGGAAACGACUGCUAAUACCGCAUGAUGUCUACGGACCAAAGAGGAGGACCUUCGGGCUUCUCGCGUCGGGAUGGGCCCAGUUGGGAUUAGCUAGUUGGUGAGGUAAUGGCUCACCAAGGCGACGAUCCCUAGCUGGUUUGAGAGGAUGAUCAGCCACACUGGAACUGAGACACGGUCCAGACUCCUACGGGAGGCAGCAGUGGGGAAUAUUGCACAAUGGGCGCAAGCCUGAUGCAGCCAUGCCGCGUGUGUGAAGAAGGCCUUCGGGUUGUAAAGCACUUUCAGCAGUGAGGAAGGUGGUGUAGUUAAUACCUGCACCAUUUGACGUUAGCUGCAGAAGAAGCACCGGCUAACUCCGUGCCAGCAGCCGCGGUAAUACGGAGGGUGCGAGCGUUAAUCGGAAUUACUGGGCGUAAAGCGCAUGCAGGCGGUCUGUUAAGCAAGAUGUGAAAGCCCCGGGCUCAACCUGGGAACUGCAUUUUGAACUGGCAGGCU
This 556-nucleotide ribosomal RNA is filed under the name Enterovibrio norvegicus. RNAcentral describes it as "bacterial SSU rRNA". It matches the Rfam family "Bacterial small subunit ribosomal RNA", at positions 90 to 642 of the family's 1533-position model. Lineage: Bacteria; Pseudomonadati; Pseudomonadota; Gammaproteobacteria; Vibrionales; Vibrionaceae. The record is from RNAcentral.